Molecule: ribosomal RNA, 253 nt
Filed under: uncultured bacterium
Lineage: Bacteria
Description: partial 16S ribosomal RNA
Rfam family: Bacterial small subunit ribosomal RNA
Source: RNAcentral
UACAUGGGGUGCAAACGUUGCUCGGAAUUAUUGGGCGUAAAGCGCACGUAGGCGGUUUGUUAAGUCGGAUGUGAAAUCCCUCGGCUCAACUGAGGAAGUGCAUCCGAAACUGGCAAGCUUGAGUACGAAAGAGGGUCGCGGAAUUCCCGGUGUAGAGGUGAAAUUCGUAGAUAUCGGGAGGAACACCGGUGGCGAAGGCGGGUCUCUGGGCCGAUACUGACGCUGAGGAGCGAAAGCGUGGGGAGCGAACAGG